Molecule: ribosomal RNA, 354 nt
Filed under: Clostridioides difficile
Lineage: Bacteria; Bacillati; Bacillota; Clostridia; Peptostreptococcales; Peptostreptococcaceae
Description: partial 23S ribosomal RNA
Rfam family: Bacterial large subunit ribosomal RNA
Source: RNAcentral
UCAGGUGGCCGCAGAGAAUAGGCCCAAGCGACUGUUUACCAAAAACAUAGGUUUCUGCUAAGUCGCAAGACGAUGUAUAGGAGCUGACGCCUGCCCGGUGCUGGAAGGUUAAGGGGAUCUGUUAGAGCAAUCGAAGCAGUGAACUUAAGCCCCAGUAAACGGCGGCCGUAACUAUAACGGUCCUAAGGUAGCGAAAUUCCUUGUCGGGUAAGUUCCGACCCGCACGAAAGGCGUAACGAUUUGGGCACUGUCUCAACAACAGACUCGGUGAAAUUGUAAUUCCGGUGAAGAUGCCGGAUACCUGCGACAGGACGGAAAGACCCCAUGGAGCUUUACUGUAGCUUGACAUUGGGU